GAGGGAGAGGGAGAGGGAGAAUCUUAAGCAGGCUCCAUGCUCAGUUAAGAGCUGGAUGCGGGGCUCGAUCUCAUGACCCUGAGAUCAUGGCCUGACCCAAAAUCAAGACCCACCCCAUAAAGUGAUGUUUCCAGUCUCAUCUCCAGUCACUUUGCUCUCCUUGCCUUCUUCUCACGCCACGUUGGCCACAUAAGCUGCUCGUCUUCCUCCCAUCCCUCAACUCAUCACUUUUUCAGGAAUGCCCGCCCUUCCUUUCCUUUGGUUGGAACACCUUCACCUUAUCCUUCAAGACCUGACAAAAAUGUCAGGAGAAGUUUUUUUAAGUUUCCUCUUACAGUUAUUUGGUCCUCAGUGCAACUCAUAACACUUCGUGUGUCAUCUCUAGUGAAGCACUGAUUAUAUAUUAUACUGAGAUGGCUUUUACAUUUGUCUCUCUCACUGGACUCUGGGCUCCCAGUUGGCAGAAUCUGAGUCUUAUUCAUCUUUGUAUCCUGGGCCCCCAGAAUAGCGCCUGGCACCCUAUUACGGUCUGUGGCAGAGGUUGGUGGAUUCAUAGUGCCUGUUAGAAUGUCUUUGGCAGCCUUAGAACAGCAUCCCCGAAAGAAGAAAAGCAAAAUAGUCCAGCCCUGAGUGCCCAGCUCUUUCCUUGUAAUUACCACUCUGUGCAGGCCCAGAUCAUGAUCAGUCUUAGCCUUAGCCAUAAACCUGUAGAAAGCUCCAGCUGCAAAAACCUAUAGCUGUCACUCAGUAUGAGUCCUUCACAUUACAGACCAGGAAAUCAGCAUGGAUCCUUUCCUCUUCCAGGUUCAGCAACACUCUUUUCAGCUUUCUCCACAUUCUGGUCCUUGAUUCCUUUUCUAUGGAUCUCGACUCGUCUACACUCUUCCUACAUUGUUGGAAUAAGUUGCUCAUUUACAAAAGACUCAACUAAUAAGAAGAAAAAAGAGAGACGACCAUUUAUGGAGUGCUUGCUACGUGCCCGGCGUCUCACAGCCUUCCCCUGAACAUUGUUGCGUUCCCAUUUUACAGAGGAGAAAUCCAAGGCUCCGAGAGGGUAGGUCUCUACUAAAGUCCCUGUCUGGUGAUUGGUGGAAUUGGCGUUUGGACGCGGAUCUCUGAUUCCAAAGCCCCUGCUCUACCCAGCCCAUGUUACUGCCUCCAGACCCAGCUCCAUUUGCUUGGCUUUAAUGAGGACCCGAUAGAUAAACAAUCUCACAGUUUUCUUGGGCUAUUGAGAUGCCGUGAACAUGUUCUUGUCUUUGGAGUGACCCUACGGCUGCUAUUCUAGGUGCAGAUGCUAGGAACUCUCUGUGCACAUGUCAGUUAUUUCCAGAUGCUGAGUGUGAA
Molecule: long non-coding RNA, 1347 nt
Filed under: Vulpes vulpes (red fox)
Lineage: Eukaryota; Metazoa; Chordata; Mammalia; Carnivora; Canidae
Description: lncRNA (ENSVVUG00000005581.1)
Source: RNAcentral